GACCGCCUGGGGAGUACGGCCGCAAGGGUAUAAUUCAAAGAAAUUGACGGGGGCCCGCACAGUGGAAGUGGAGCAUGUGGUUUAAUUCGAUGCAACGCGCGGAACCUUACCUACUCUUCAACUCCAGCGAGCUUCCUAGCGAGGGCUUGGGGCGGUAAUCAAGGCCAUGCAGGUGCUGCUUGCCGUUAGUCAGACACCACGNUGGAAUGUUGCGGGAAUUCCGCCUAUGAGCGCAAAGAUUAUCUGUUGUGCCGAGACCUUUCCUUUUACAUAGGAUACUAGCGGCGCUGUCUCGGCCGGGAAAAGGACCCUAUAACGUGUAUUCCACCGGCCAGAAUGGUAAGGUCAUUCGGUAGCGCUUCCUACGUAAUUGGGGGGAAGUUUUGGUGCGGGAGCCAGCGGACCUCACAAACUGCACGGAAAAGGGGAUUCUAGUGAUGAACUUGAUUGUUGUUGCGUUCUAUCGCUACUUCUCCUGAAUCAUGCUGGAGCAUUGGUACGCUCCUUUUCUUCGUGCUUGGUGCCGAUCACCCCCACGGAGUCCAUGAGGUUUGACGUAGGUAGCAGAACAUUGGUGAGGGUCAGAAGCAUCGGCGUACAGUAAGCAUUAAUCCG
RNAcentral lists this ribosomal RNA (615 nucleotides) under Pantoea stewartii subsp. indologenes. RNAcentral's name for it is "partial 16S ribosomal RNA". Lineage: Bacteria; Pseudomonadati; Pseudomonadota; Gammaproteobacteria; Enterobacterales; Erwiniaceae. The record is from RNAcentral.